Molecule: ribosomal RNA, 468 nt
Filed under: uncultured bacterium
Lineage: Bacteria
Description: partial 16S ribosomal RNA
Rfam family: Bacterial small subunit ribosomal RNA
Source: RNAcentral
GACGAACGCUGGCGGCGUGCUUAACACAUGCAAGUCGAACGGAAAGGCCCUGCUUUUGUGGGGUGCUCGAGUGGCGAACGGGUGAGUAACACGUGAGUAACCUGCCCUUGACUUUGGGAUAACUUCAGGAAACUGGGGCUAAUACCGGAUAGGAGCUCCUGCUGCAUGGGGGGGGGUGGAAAGGGUCGGCGGUUGGGGAUGGACUCGCUGCUUAUCAGCUGGGUGGUGGGGUAGUGGCUUACCAAGGCGUUGACGGGUAGCCGGCCUGAGGGGGUGACCGGCCACAUUGGGACUGAGAUACUGCCCAGACUCCUACGGGAGGCAGCAGCGGGGAAUAUUGCACAAUGGGCGGACGCCUGAUGCAGCAACGCCGCGUGCGGGAGGUCGGCCUUCUGGUUCUAAACCGCUUUCGCCUGUGCCGAAGCGUGAGUGACGGUAAUGGGUAAAGAAGCACCGGCUAACUACGUG